UCCCAUCCUCCUGCCCCCAUCCCCUGCCAUGGCUUCUCUAAAAGGAAAAAAUCUCCGGCAUUGGCGACGCCGGCGGCGCUAGGUGACCAGAGCCAGCCACCGACGCUUCUCCCUGUUCACGCCCUUCGUCCCACGCGUUCAAGAACAUAAAUAUGGCUUGGCGUAACUGCAAAUUGGGCAGCUUUUCCAGUGUAUGGGUGAAAGGUCGAGCCUUUACUGAGGUCCAUAACACUGUAUCUUCCAUCAGGACAGUCAAUCAGCGCUAUCAUGGAUGUUUUCGUCCUUUGCAUACACAUGCUGAAGUACUUUUUGUUGGCAGAUGGAAAGGAUCCAUGAACCAUGAUGCCAGAAUUAUCUUACGGACGAUUCUUAACCUCUCUUUUCCUGUUACUAUAUGUUAGAGAUGUUUAAAAUCCCUGCUUUUGAAGUAGAUGCAGCACCUAAGAAAGGUGAAGGCGUGAUGACCUUGGACCCCACUCAAACAGGGACCAUCCAUAGUCUACAUGUAAUAGCAUGUUUGGGCUGCCCUGCAAUAUCUGAAUGCUUCUGGUACGUUUGGUAUUCAAUCAAGUAGACUGUGUCAUCACUGUUUAAGCCAGGACAUCCUAUACCGUUAUUUUUCCAUGACGAGUCACUAAUCCUUAGUGGUAAGUACAUAGUUGCGUGCUUGAUUAAAAGAUAUUUUUUCACCUUUGCGACUAUUGCAUGAUUGUGAUCCCUUCUUUUGCUGUAUAUGAUUGCACUUUAGCUUUUCCCCUAUCACAUUCGGUCAUUUGUUGUUUAGGAGUCUAAAUCAAUAUAAAUCCAUGUCCACACAUUAUGCCACAUGCUGAAACAGUAAAGGAAAUCUAUUGCACAGGGAUGGGGUAGAGCAACAGGUGCCUGGUGGCCAGAGAAUGAGCAAAGGAAAACAACACCCUGCCUUCUUAGAUAUCUAGGCUGGCAUGCAAAUGCUGAUGAUAUCCUUUCGACCGAAGGGGCCUACUCCUUUGGGAUUCUUAAGAUUCAAGUAUCCUUAACUGGUCACCCCAAUUAUAUGAAACGAAGAAAAGGAGUAGGAAAGAACACACAACACACACCCGUAGAACGAGGUAGGGCAGAAAGGUAGGACUCUCAUCUAAGGUUUGCCUUAAUGGCCCAAGAAUUGCCCACCACUGCUAAUGUGAGGUGGAAUUUGCUGGACCAUCAAUUGAGCCAGCCCAAUUAGGUCUCCACAUGCAUGAGUGGGUGAUCAUGUGUCAAGUUUAUGCAGGUUAGCAUGCACUUUGUCCGUUGGAAACGAUGUAUCGUUAGGCGAAGGAGGGGAAGGAGGUUGUCUAUAAAUAUGCAGUGCGAUGGAUAGGGGUUGGUUUGUGCUGAAAGCAAGCUAGCUGGGAGCAUAGUGGAAGAAGAGAGAGGCCACCU
This is a long non-coding RNA of Triticum dicoccoides, 1404 nucleotides long. RefSeq lists it as uncharacterized. Lineage: Eukaryota; Viridiplantae; Streptophyta; Magnoliopsida; Poales; Poaceae. The record is from RefSeq and is a predicted model, not a curated record. The transcript has 3 exons.